AUGGCUGUCCUGGUGCUGCUCCUCUGCCUGGUGACAUUUCCAAGUUGUGCCCUGUCACAGAUACAGCUGAAGGAAUCAGGACUUGGCCUAGUGAAGCCCUCACAGACCCUAUCGCUCACCUGCACUGUCUCUGGAUUCUCAUUAACGAGUAAUGAUUUACACUGGUUCCGCCAGCCUCCAGGAAAAGUUCCGGAGUGGAUGGGAGCAAUAUGGAGUGGUGGAGGCACAGAGUAUAAUUCAGCUCUCCAGUCCCGAAUCACCAUCACCAGGGACACCUCCAAGAGCCAAGUUUUCUUAAAACUGAACAGUCUGCAAACUGAGGACACAGCCAUGUAUUUCUGUGCCAGAUACACAGGAACAUUUUACUACUCCAUCAGUGCAAAAUGA
Non-coding RNA from Microtus ochrogaster (prairie vole), 387 nucleotides. The record is from the annotation of a RefSeq genome assembly. NCBI's taxonomy places the organism in Eukaryota, Metazoa, Chordata, Mammalia, Rodentia, Cricetidae.